AUUGAACGCUGGCGGCAGGCCUAACACAUGCAAGUCGAGCGGUAGAGAGGUGCUUGCAUUUCUUGAGAGCGGCGGACGGGUGAGUAAUGCCUAGGAAUCUGCCUAGUGGUGGGGAUAACGUUCGGAAACGGACGCUAAUACCGCAUACGUCCUACGGGAGAAAGCGGGGGAUCUUCGGACCUCGCGCCAUUAGAUGAGCCUAGGUCGGAUUAGCUAGUUGGUGAGGUAAUGGCUCACCAAGGCGACGAUCCGUAACUGGUCUGAGAGGAUGAUCAGUCACACUGGAACUGAGACACGGUCCAGACUCCUACGGGAGGCAGCAGUGGGGAAUAUUGGACAAUGGGCGAAAGCCUGAUCCAGCCAUGCCGCGUGUGUGAAGAAGGUCUUCGGAUUGUAAAGCACUUUAAG
RNAcentral lists this ribosomal RNA (408 nucleotides) under uncultured bacterium. RNAcentral's name for it is "bacterial SSU rRNA". It matches the Rfam family "Bacterial small subunit ribosomal RNA", at positions 30 to 439 of the family's 1533-position model. The record is from RNAcentral.